This 95-nucleotide small RNA is filed under the name Mesonia phycicola. RNAcentral describes it as "Mesonia sp. MDSW-25 Flavo-1 RNA". It matches the Rfam family "Flavo-1 RNA". The record is from Rfam by way of RNAcentral. Lineage: Bacteria; Pseudomonadati; Bacteroidota; Flavobacteriia; Flavobacteriales; Flavobacteriaceae.
AAUGCGCAAGGGAUUGAAGUGGCAUCCUUUUUAUGUCAUUUUGAGCGGAGUCGAGAAAUUACAUAAAAAAGAUAUAACGGAAAGCCCGACCCAUA